GCGUGAUUACGGUACAUCAUUUUUUUUUAAAGUCUUUUAUUUCGUUCAUAAAGGUUAAAAAAGAAAGAAGUACACAUUUUUAUCCAUAAAAUGUGUACACGUAGAAAACUGAGAAGCGAAAGUAGAUCGAGAUCGAGAAAAUCUGAUGAGUCUACCUGUCUUCACAGUAGAAACAAUCUAGAUCUAUAGAUCUACAUUCAAUGAUUGUGUUUGAAAAUGAAAACAAUUGUUACAGAGUUAAUGUCAUUAGGCUUACCAACAUCUUCAAAAGUUUAACAGUAGUAUAAUGCUGUAUUGGUGAUUCAGAUCUAGAGUCUUGAUCUACUUGUACAAAGUUCCAAAGAUUUGCAAUUGAAGAUCUUGAGAAGAGUGUAGCAAAAUGUGAAGAACGUUUGGAUGUCAUUGAGAGAUUACAAAGGUUGACUAUGAUGACACAUGAGGAAAGAUCUGAGUUGAAACAAGAAAAGAAGUUAUUGGAGCAAACAUUAGUUGACAAUAGAAAACAAUUAAAAAGUUUACGCUGGGAAAAUGGUAAAAGUAUGAUCAUAUCAGUUAUGAUACUUGGAGUAUUGUAUGCAGGUUGGAUGAUGUACAGUUGACAGCUGGUUGUGACCUACAUCUGAUAGAAAGACUAGCCCCCUGACCAGUGAUGUUAUCUAAAUCUGUUCAUGUUAUAUGUAUAUAAUAGACCUUAUUAUCUACUUGGAACUACAUAAUUUAAAAUAAAUUAUGUCUUGAAAUUA
Molecule: RNA transcript, 743 nt
Organism: Biomphalaria glabrata
Lineage: Eukaryota; Metazoa; Mollusca; Gastropoda; Planorbidae
Exons: 5
Source: RefSeq, a predicted model, not a curated record